GAUGAACGCUGGCGGCGUGCUUAACACAUGCAAGUCGAACGAUGAAGCCCAGCUUGCUGGGUGGAUUAGUGGCGAACGGGUGAGUAACACGUGAGUACCCUGCCCUUAACUCUGGGAUAAGCCUGGAAAACUGGGUCUAAUACCGGAUAGGAGCGUCCACCGCAUGGUGGGUGUUGGAAAGAUUUAUCGGUUUUGGAUGGACUCGCGGCCUAUCAGCUUGUUGGAGGGGUAAUGGCUCACCAAGGCGACGACGGGUAGCCGGCCUGAGAGGGUGACCGGCCACACUGGGACUGAGACACGGCCCAGACUCCUACGGGAGGCAGCGGUGGGGAAUAUUGCACAAUGGGCGAAAGCCUGAUGCAGCGACGCCGCGUGAGGGAUGACGGCCUUCGGGUUGUAAACCUCUUUCAGUAGGGAAGAAGCGAAAGUGACGGUACCUGCAGAAGAAGCACCGGCUAACUACGUG
Molecule: ribosomal RNA, 466 nt
Filed under: uncultured bacterium
Lineage: Bacteria
Description: partial 16S ribosomal RNA
Rfam family: Bacterial small subunit ribosomal RNA
Source: RNAcentral